UACGGAAGGAGCUAGCGUCGUUCGGAUAUACUGGGCGUAAAGCGCACGUAGGCGGCGCCGUAAGUCAGGGGUGAAAUCCCGGAGCUCAACUCCGGAACUGCCCUUGAAACUGCAGUGCUAGAAUCUUGGAGAGGCGAGUGGAAUUCCGAGUGUAGAGGUGAAAUUCGUAGAUAUUCGGAAGAACACCAGUGGCGAAGGCGACUCGCUGGACAAGUAUUGACGCUGAGGUGCGAAAGCGUGGGGAGCAAACAGG
RNAcentral lists this ribosomal RNA (253 nucleotides) under uncultured bacterium. RNAcentral describes it as "partial 16S ribosomal RNA". It matches the Rfam family "Bacterial small subunit ribosomal RNA", at positions 524 to 776 of the family's 1533-position model. The record is from RNAcentral.